RNAcentral lists this ribosomal RNA (460 nucleotides) under uncultured bacterium. RNAcentral's name for it is "partial 16S ribosomal RNA". It matches the Rfam family "Bacterial small subunit ribosomal RNA", at positions 338 to 795 of the family's 1533-position model. The record is from RNAcentral.
CCUACGGGUGGCAGCAGUGAGGAAUAUUGGUCAAUGGACGAGAGUCUGAACCAGCCAAGUAGCGUGAAGGAUGACUGCCCUACGGGUUGUAAACUUCUUUUAUAUGGGAAUAAAACGUUCCACGUGUGGGAUUUUGUAUGUACCAUAUGAAUAAGGAUCGGCUAACUCCGUGCCAGCAGCCGCGGUAAUACGGAGGAUCCGAGCGUUAUCCGGAUUUAUUGGGUUUAAAGGGAGCGUAGGUGGAUUGUUAAGUCAGUUGUGAAAGUUUGCGGCUCAACCGUAAAAUUGCAGUUGAAACUGGCAGUCUUGAGUACAGUAGAGGUGGGCGGAAUGCGUGGUGUAGCGGUGAAAUGCUUAGAUAUCACGAAGAACUCCGAUUGCGAAGGCAGUUCACUGGACUGCAACUGACACUGAGGCUCGAAAGUGUGGGUAUCAAACAGGAUUAGAUACCCCUGUAGUC